UAAGGGGCCUCGCUCCCUCGGGAGCUGUUCGCGCCCCCCUGCUGCAACCCCGGCCCGGCGCCGCCCGCGCCCCGCACUUCCUUCGCGACCCCCGAGCCGGUGGCCUUGCCCCCCACCUCGUGUGUGGCCGCCUAGCAUCCUGAGAGGCCGGCACCGGCGUCCUGGCGCCUCCGCUUUCACCUCUGGGGCGCCGCGGCCGCCUCCGAACCGCAUUGCGCGGAUCCUCAUACCUCCAGGGUGGGGUGUAGGACAAAGGGACCGGACGGCUCGGAUGGGCGCCUUGUCUGCGUCGUCGCACUAGGAGCACGUCCAAGCCACCCCCCCGCCCAACCGGGAAAAUGAGCUGUUUUCCCAAUCGCGAAACAUUCCCCCACUCCGCUUUCCCAACCACCAACAAAAUUUAUCCCUGAGAGCGAUUUUGAGGAGUGUCUUGACCUCAUCCAUCGAAGGAUGACAGUGGCUACACAAUGACAUUGUUUUACUCAAAAGAUGUGUUAUCCGCGUGUUUCACCGCAGGAAAACAAACAGCUACUGGCUUGAGAGUUGUCGAGUGGGUGUUGUUGACCGAAGGGGACUGAGGCGUAGCAUUGGCCCUAGGUGUCCCAAAUGAGAUUAUUUGAAACCAGAAGCAGAUGUCUUCAUCAAACACGAAGUGCUAAAGAUUUCAGCAAAAACAGACGGAGUUUUCCUUGGGUAAAGAUCUCAGAAACAAGCCCAUCUUUCCAAGAACCGGAAUUGCAAGAAUCCAGGAUGGGUUACCUGGCUCCUUUGGCUAACGUAUCACAACAGGCUGCAGGCAUCUCAGGGUUCCACGAGGAAGGAUCAACCUCCAAGCCUACUCAGUUCACAGGAUGUCAGUUGGUCUGCCUCAAAGCAAAUGCAGGAC
Molecule: long non-coding RNA, 886 nt
Filed under: Heterocephalus glaber (naked mole-rat)
Lineage: Eukaryota; Metazoa; Chordata; Mammalia; Rodentia; Bathyergidae
Description: lncRNA (ENSHGLG00000031837.2)
Source: RNAcentral